Molecule: ribosomal RNA, 304 nt
Filed under: uncultured bacterium
Lineage: Bacteria
Description: bacterial SSU rRNA
Rfam family: Bacterial small subunit ribosomal RNA
Source: RNAcentral
ACGAGCGCAACCCACGUUUUUAGUUGCCAGCAUUCAGUUGGGCACUCUANAAAGACUGCCGGUGACAAACCGGAGGAAGGUGUGGACGACGUCAAGUCAUCAUGCCCCUUACGCCUUGGGCUACACACGUACUACAAUGCUGCGGACAAAGAGUAGCGAUCUUGCGAAAGUUAGCUAAUCUCGUAAACCGUGGCUCANUUCAGAUCGUAGGCUGCAACUCGCCUACNUGAAGGAGGAAUCGCUAGUAAUCGCAGGUCAGCAUACUGCGGUGAAUACGUUCCCGGGCCUUGUACACACCGCCCGU